CAGAGAUGGAUUGGUGCCUUCGGGAACUGUGAGACAGGUGCUGCAUGGCUGUCGUCAGCUCGUGUUGUGAAAUGUUGGGUUAAGUCCCGCAACGAGCGCAACCCUUAUCCUUUGUUGCCAGCGAUUAGGUCGGGAACUCAAAGGAGACUGCCAGUGAUAAACUGGAGGAAGGUGGGGAUGACGUCAAGUCAUCAUGGCCCUUACGACCAGGGCUACACACGUGCUACAAUGGCGCAUACAAAGAGAAGCGACCUCGCGAGAGCAAGCGGACCUCAUAAAGUGCGUCGUAGUCCGGAUUGGAGUCUGCAACUCGACUCCAUGAAGUCGGAAUCGCUAGUAAUCGUGGAUCAGAAUGCCACGGUGAAUACGUUCCCGGGCCUUGUACACACCGCCCGUCACACCAUGGGAGUGGGUUGCAAAAGAAGUAGGUAGCUUAACCUUCGGGAGGGCGCUACCA
RNAcentral lists this ribosomal RNA (457 nucleotides) under Salmonella enterica subsp. enterica serovar Typhimurium. Its description in RNAcentral is "bacterial SSU rRNA". It matches the Rfam family "Bacterial small subunit ribosomal RNA", at positions 1001 to 1458 of the family's 1533-position model. The record is from RNAcentral. Lineage: Bacteria; Pseudomonadati; Pseudomonadota; Gammaproteobacteria; Enterobacterales; Enterobacteriaceae.